Triticum aestivum (bread wheat) is the source of this 3200-nucleotide long non-coding RNA. RefSeq lists it as uncharacterized. The record is from RefSeq and is a predicted model, not a curated record. NCBI's taxonomy places the organism in Eukaryota, Viridiplantae, Streptophyta, Magnoliopsida, Poales, Poaceae. The transcript has 6 exons.
CCUCUCCUCGCUUGCAGCCGCCUCCUUUACACCUCCGCCCGAGCUCCACCUUCCUCGCCGACCUCCCUCCUCCUGCCUCCUCCCUCCCAUGCCUCUCCCUCCUCCUGCCUCCUCUCUCCCCUUUCCUGUCCAUCCCCACAACCUCUCCCACUUCUUCCAUCCCCCCUCCCCGUGUCACCACUCACCAUGGCCUCCGCCCUGGAGCCUCGCCGACGCAUGCUAUUCCUCCUCCCUUGUCUCUAUUCGGCGCUGAUGAUCGGCUCACCCCACAGCUUUUUCCCCACCCACGACCUAGCGUUGGGGAGGCCGGGUUUUCUUGUUGGGGGUGAAGGAGAUGGGGACGGCCAAGAGGCCAGCGGUGGGGAGAAGCCAGGCCGGCCUGCCGUCUUUCCCCGGAUCUGGUCAGCAGCCGAGUUGGCUGGCUGGGAUGAGAAGAUUGUCCUCCUUGUGGCGCUCGUCAUCGAGGACAGCCUGGUCUGCAAAUCGCGGCCCUCCUGCGUUGGGCUACACGACGUGGCUUACUGAAGAGCGCUGACCAACAGCAGUGUGGUAUUUGCAGGUGCUGAUCUUGGGUUUACCACUUGUGGCUUUGGUUUGACAGGGUGCUAGCAGCUGCAGUUCUGUUCAUUUGGAGGACACAUAUGACAAACUAUGACAUCACAGUAUUUUUUUCCUUCAGAUGCUUCAUCUUUGUUUUUUCUGUGUGUAUGCAUGCCAUGGUUUGCACAUCCUUUGCUCAUUGGCAUGUCUAUACACAUGCUUGUUGUUCUUCUAGAGAACUGAGUUGGUGAUGUUUAUUAUUGUUAGCUAUUUAGAGUGAUUGUUCCCAAUUAACUUUGAUCAAUUAAUUAUUAGCAGGUAUUUAUCGAAUGACCUUAUGCAAAUUCCCGGCCAGUUGAUUCCUUUUUUAGCCAAGGCCAUCUUUAUAUCACAUAUCUCUGCUGCUGGUGAAAGUGACUCAACUGAAAGUGGCAUGUGAUUCUCCCCUGGAGCCCAACGGCCCUCUAUAUGGAUUAUCUGAAAGUUGAAGAGUAUGCUUAUGCAUCAGAUUUUCUCCUCUUAGUUAUGCAAUUCAGGCCUGUAUUUAUUUUUCAAUAUCACUAUGAGUAUCAUGAUAGAGAGUUAAUAGUUCACUCACUGCACAAAAUAUUUAGUUGGCAUAUUGAGGGGCUCACACCCUUUUAUGGAUGAACUUAUACCAUGAAUUAAACAGAUAGCAUGACCAUAUGAUUAUAGAGAGAAAAAACCAUAGCUUGUGUUGUUUGGCAGGUUAUUAGUGACUUUUAAACAUAGUCAUGCAAUAGAACUUUAGGAUUCAUAAUUAUUCUACAUAUGAUUGUUGAAACCAGUACUUUUGUAAGACCGAUGGUGAUGUAUGCUCCUUGCUGGUUUAGGUUGGUUGUUUGGAACAUUGUUGAUUGUAUGGUGGCUACAAAAGUGAAUCUUCAAGCUGGCUGCAAUAGAAGCUGAUAUAGAAUUGAAGCUUCAUCAAAUCUAUCAGGGCGUUCAUUGCGUAAUACAGUGUUGAGAAUGAGAACAUUUUCAGAGGGGAACUUAAGGUAUCACCUAAUGAUAUAAUAUUAGUCACUAUCCGUUGAUUGGUAAAUUUUGCUUUAGUAUACACCCCUUCGGGAUAUGGCUUUCAAUUCUAUACUUUUCUUUGAUUAUCAGUAUUGCUAUAAGGAUAAUAAUCAUUUUUAUUGCAAAGUACGUACUACAUUAGAGAAGUCAACAUGUUUUCCCAUAGAAAUACAUGUGGCGCGAAAGCAGCGACAGUCAUGUUUGAAAGCGUGUAAUAUAAGAGUAUGUAUCUUAGUUAUUUUGGCAUCGCCAUCCUUUACAUUAUAGGUUGUUUUGCACAACUAACAAUGAGGUCUACAUAUAUAUAUUUGCAAUUUAAAUUCACCACACCUUUGAAACCCGUAGUUGUUUACUAUUCUCUUAAAUAUUUAAACUUUGUGCUUCAUUCCUUUAAUUUAAGAACUAGGAGGGUGCAGAUAAGUAAGAGUUCUUGGCAGCAGCAACCUACACAUGUGGAAACAGUGGCUAUGGCGGUUCAAACGGAAGUGGCAGCUAGACAGCAACUCACAGCUUAGUGGCGGCUCAAAGGACAUAUAAUCUAUUUCUUCUUGGAGCUAUCUACUAUCAUAUUAUGACUCGGUGCUAGCUGAAGCUUCUAUUUUCUCGCCUUUUGUGGUGGUGAUUAAUCCUUGGACUGUAGUAAUUCCAUUUGAUAUUCCUCAUGUUGCAACCUUUUCCCGUAGAAUCGAAAGGAAUUAGAUGGAAGAAAUUGCAGGAGGAAUGGUAUUCUCGGCUGACAUUCAAAAGCAGCCAAGAUGGUGAAGUUUAGGACGGAGGAGCUCUGUGAAAUUAUGGUUAAAAAAUAUCCAUAACAUGUCUGUCAUUGCUCAUGUCGACCACGGUUUGUGACGGAGUAGUGACAGUUGUCUCUAAUUGUCAAGUUUAUACGGUAGAAUCUUCUUGAUUGAUGAUUUUGAAGCCUUCUCUUAGUUGUACUAUAUUAAUUCUUAAAACUGGAUCAUUUAAAAUUAGUUAGAUUUAAUGAGUUGUUUCACUGUUUUCAAAUAAGUAGUUUAAGCCCUUAUUGUGUCCCAGAGCUUAUUCUUUCUACCUUUUUAUGAUUGAUAUAUGCUCUAACAAGAUUAAAUUUAACUAUUGGCAUAUAAUCUCAUGGCUCAAAAUCUUAGUUGUUGAAUGCAUUAAAAUUUAUAAGAUCUAGAGUUUGCACUAUAUUUCAUCCUGUGGUAUUCCCAGUAACUGAAUAUUAAGAGCACCGACGAUCCCAGGUUGUACAUUCGUGAAAUGCUUUUAUCUUGCAGGCCAGUUUUACAUUUACUUCUUCAAUAAGGAGAUGACCAUGAAUAGAGUAUCAUGGUAUUUGCCUUGGCAUUACUGACGUUGUGUUCAGAUUACUGAAAGAAGGAUUGGUAGCCGCAAAGGAGUGAAGGGUAGAAAAUAUGUCCAUUGUCGUUGAAUUGGUUGGAUUGUCCCCAAGUUAGUGUUGCAGAUGUUUCUAUUUUAGAGCAAGAAGCCAAAUCAUGCUAUUCAUUGUAAAUCUUGAAAAACUUGUUUAUUGGCACUUCUAUAUCUGUUGUAAACGUUUGUUCGUGAUGUGGUACUUGUCAAUCUUUGUUUGCCCUUCCUUUUCAAGUUUGCCUUAAAUUUCAGCAGACCAACAA